GACGAACGCUGGCGGCGCGCUUAACACAUGCAAGUCGAACGGAAAGGCCUGCUUUCCCUUGUGGAUUGCGGGUACUCGAGUGGCGAACGGGUGAGUAACACGUGAGUGAUCUGCCCCCAACUUGGGUAUAAGCCUGGGAAACUGGGUCUAAUUCCCGAUAGGACUGCAGGGUGGUGCCUGUGGUGGAAAACGAUUUUCUAGUGGUUGGGGAUGAGUUCGCGGCCUAUCAGCUUGUUGGUGGGGUAAUGGCCUACCAAGGCGGCGACGGGUAGCCGGCCUGAGAGGGUGGACGGCCACAUUGGGACUGAGAUACGGCCCAGACUCCUACGGGAGGCAGCAGUGGGGAAUAUUGCACAAUGGGCGGAAGCCUGAUGCAGCGACGCCGCGUGGGGGAUGACGGCCUUCGGGUUGUAAACUCCUUUCGACCGCGAGGAAGCCACCUGGUUGGAAGGGUGGUGACGGUAGUGGUAGAAGAAGCACCGGCUAACUACGUG
RNAcentral lists this ribosomal RNA (494 nucleotides) under uncultured bacterium. Its description in RNAcentral is "partial 16S ribosomal RNA". It matches the Rfam family "Bacterial small subunit ribosomal RNA", at positions 28 to 507 of the family's 1533-position model. The record is from RNAcentral.